RNAcentral lists this unclassified non-coding RNA (465 nucleotides) under Hevea brasiliensis (rubber tree). Lineage: Eukaryota; Viridiplantae; Streptophyta; Magnoliopsida; Malpighiales; Euphorbiaceae. The record is from RNAcentral.
UGGCAAUGGCUUUUUAAAAAGAAAAUUUAAAAAAAAAAAAUGUGCAAGAAGUUCUCCCCCCACCUUCUCUCUCUCCUAUCUCUCACUUCUCCCUCUCUUUUUCUUUCAUCUUCGGUGAGCCACCACCUACCGCCAGCGGCACCCUCUAAUAAUGACACUUCUUCCGGCAACCACCAUGAGGCCGUGAACGGCGACCAGGACCACCAAAAGCAGCGGUAAACGAGGGGUGAGAGAGAAAGACAAGCGCGCGAAGGCAAGAGCUUUCUGGCGUGAUUCCGGUGUCGUUCGACAUCGAAUGGACGUGAUUCUGGUGCCAUUGGAAUCCUCAUUCCACGAGCUUUCUUUUGGGACCAACUUUGCAUCAAAUGGUGGUCGGAGGAGAAAGUCAAGAAUGAGAGAAGUUUCAGGUUUUUCAAGCUUUCUGAUUAGAUCUCAGAUGAUCCGACCAUUGGAUCGACGAUCUAG